CUUUGAGUUGCUCUGAUUGUGUUAUAGUGAUGGUAGAACAAGGUGUGAAUGGUGCCAUUACUGUGAAAUCAGGAGCACCCUAGUGCAUAGUGAUAACUGAUGCACUUAGGUUUUCAUGGCAACAGUGACAGAUAGGUGUGUAAACCAGAGAAAAACAUCACCGCAUACUGAAGCCCCCAGACCACCGUGGACCAAGAUCCCCCUUUCAGGCAUGAGGCACAUAUCAGAGGGG
This is a non-coding RNA of Pelobates cultripes (western spadefoot toad), 232 nucleotides long. Lineage: Eukaryota; Metazoa; Chordata; Amphibia; Anura; Pelobatidae. The record is from the annotation of a GenBank genome assembly.